This 820-nucleotide non-coding RNA is filed under the name Yunnanites coriacea. The record is from RNAcentral. Lineage: Eukaryota; Metazoa; Arthropoda; Insecta; Orthoptera; Pyrgomorphidae.
UAUGAGGGUUGUUUUAGAAUUUAAUAUUUUAUUGGUCUAUUUUUUCAAAUUAAAGUUUUAUUCUUGCUUAUUUAUUCACUUUUUCUUUAUAUUAUAUGCAAGUUUUGUAAUACUAAAUGUUCUUUUUGCAGUGAUUUGGUUUAAUUAUUAAGUUAUUUUGGAAUUAGUAAUUGAUGAAGUAUUGGCAUAAUUCGUGCCAGCAGCCGCGGUUAUACGAUUAAUACAAGUGAAUAUUAUUGGUUACAACAGUUGUUUGAAUUAUUAGGAUUUAAUUUUAAAGUUAUAAGGUGAAAUUUGAUUUUUUUUAUAGUCCUUUUUAUGAAUCUGUGAAACUUAAAAUAUAAACUAGGAUUAGAUACCCUAUUAUUUUAAUUGUUAAUUUUUCUUACCUGGGUAUUAAUAGUUAAGGUCUUUAAACCCAAAGAAUUUGGCGGUAUCUUAUUCCAUUCAGAGGAACCUACCCCGUAAUUGAUAAUACACGAUUAACUUUACUUAAUUUAUUUGUUUAUAUACCGCCGUUAUCAAGAAAAUCAUUUAAGAUGUGUCAUAAUUUUUAAUUAGGAAUUAUUUCACAUCAAGGUGCGAUUAUAGAUAAAAGGUGUUGGGUUACAAUACAUUUAAUUAAUGGUUUAAUUUAUGAAUUUUUUAAAUUAAGAAGCAUUUGAGAGUAAUUUGUUUAACAUUUUCCAUUUGAUAUUAGCUCUAAAGUGUGUACACAUCGCCAUCGCUCUCAUAAUUUUGUUUUGGUUUAAUUAAUUUAUGUUAGGUGAGAUAAAUCGUAACAUAGUAGAUGUACUGGAAAGUGUUUUUAGUAAGAUUU